GGAUUGAACGCUGGCGGCAUGCCUAACACAUGCAAGUCGAACGGGAGUAGCAAUACUCUAGUGGCGGACGGGUGAGGAAUACGUAGGAAUUUGCCCUUAAGUGGGGGAUAACCCGGGGAAACCCGGAUUAAUACCGCAUGACCUCGAAAGAGCAAAGUGGGGGAUCGCAAGACCUCACGCUUUUGGAGAAGCCUACGUCGGAUUAGCUAGUUGGUGAGGUAUAGGCGUCACCAACGGACGACGAUCCGUAACCUAGGUCCGACGAGGAGUGAUCAGUCACACCGGAACCGUAGAGACACGGUCCGGACGUCCUACCGGGACGGGCGAGCGAGU
This 333-nucleotide ribosomal RNA is filed under the name uncultured soil bacterium. RNAcentral's name for it is "bacterial SSU rRNA". It matches the Rfam family "Bacterial small subunit ribosomal RNA", at positions 27 to 359 of the family's 1533-position model. The record is from RNAcentral.